GGCGGAGUAGCUCAGGUGGUUAGAGCAGCGGAAUCAUAAUCCGCGUGUCGGGGGUUCGAGUCCCUCCUCCGCUAACA
This 77-nucleotide transfer RNA is filed under the name SAR116 cluster alpha proteobacterium HIMB100. RNAcentral describes it as "tRNA-Met". It matches the Rfam family "tRNA". Rfam says of the family: Transfer RNA (tRNA) molecules are approximately 80 nucleotides in length. Lineage: Bacteria; Pseudomonadati; Pseudomonadota; Alphaproteobacteria; Puniceispirillales (SeqCode). The record is from RNAcentral.